UUGCUUUGGGAACAAAUAUAGUAAAAGUGGAAUUAUACAGAGAAGAUUACCAUGGUCCCUAAGUAAG
RNAcentral lists this small nuclear RNA (67 nucleotides) under Dipodomys ordii (Ord's kangaroo rat). The record is from RNAcentral. Lineage: Eukaryota; Metazoa; Chordata; Mammalia; Rodentia; Heteromyidae.